Molecule: ribosomal RNA, 1919 nt
Filed under: Brevibacillus brevis
Lineage: Bacteria; Bacillati; Bacillota; Bacilli; Caryophanales; Paenibacillaceae
Description: bacterial LSU rRNA
Rfam family: Bacterial large subunit ribosomal RNA
Source: RNAcentral
GUGGUUAAGUUACUAAGGGCACACGGUGGAUGCCUUGGCGCUAGGAGCCGAAGAAGGACGCAGCGAACUGCGAUAAGCCUCGGGGAGCGGUAAGCACGCUUUGAUCCGGGGAUCUCCGAAUGGGGAAACCCACCAUCUGUAAUGGGAUGGUAUCCAUCACUGAAUACAUAGGUGAUGAGAAGGCAGACCCGGUGAACUGAAACAUCUAAGUAGCCGGAGGAAGAGAAAACAAUAGUGAUUCCGUCAGUAGUGGCGAGCGAACGCGGAAGAGCCUAAACCGUCGGGUUUACCCGGCGGGGUUGUGGGGCGUCUCACAUGGAGUUACAAAAGACGCGCGUAGGUGAACAGCUUGGGAAAGCUGACCAUAGAGCGUGAUAGUCGCGUACCCUAAACGCGCGUCUCUCCGAGACCAACCCCGAGUAGCGCGGGACACGUGAAAUCCCGUGUGAAUCUGGCAGGACCAUCUGCUAAGGCUAAAUACUACCUAGCGACCGAUAGUGAACCAGUACCGUGAGGGAAAGGUGAAAAGCACCCCGGGAGGGGAGUGAAAUAGUACCUGAAACCGUGUGCUUACAAAUAGUCGGAGCCCGUUAAAAGGGUGACGGCGUGCCUUUUGUAGAAUGAACCGGCGAGUUACGGUAGCGUGCGAGGUUAAGUUGAAGAGACGGAGCCGCAGCGAAAGCGAGUCUGAAUAGGGCGAUAGUACGCUGCCGUAGACCCGAAACCGUGUGAUCUAGCCAUGUCCAGGGUGAAGGUAGGGUAACACCUACUGGAGGCCCGAACCCACGCACGUUGAAAAGUGCGGGGAUGAGGUGUGGCUAGCGGUGAAAUUCCAAUCGAACUCGGAGAUAGCUGGUUCUCCCCGAAAUAGCUUUAGGGCUAGCCUCGGAAUUUAGAGUCUUGGAGGUAGAGCACUGAUUGGGCUAGGGGCCCUCAUCGGGUUACCGAACUCAGUCAAACUCCGAAUGCCAAUGACUUAUGUCCGGGAGUCAGACGGUGAGUGCUAAGAUCCAUCGUCAAAAGGGAAACAGCCCAGACCAUCAGCUAAGGUCCCCAAGUAUACGUUAAGUGGGAAACGAUGUGGAGUUGCCCAGACAACCAGGAUGUUGGCUUAGAAGCAGCCACCAUUUAAAGAGUGCGUAAUAGCUCACUGGUCGAGUGACUCUGCGCGGAAAAUGUAACGGGGCUAAACGUAUCACCGAAGCUAUGGCAGUCCUUACGGACUGGGUAGGGGAGCGUUCCAAGCAGCAGUGAAGCCGUACUGGAAAGAGCGGUGGAGCGCUUGGAAGUGAGAAUGCCGGUGUAAGUAGCGAAAAGACAAGUGAGAAUCUUGUCCACCGAAAGCCUAAGGUUUCCUGGGGAAGGCUCGUCCUCCCAGGGUUAGUCGGGACCUAAGCUGAGGCCGAAAGGCGUAGGCGAUGGACAACAGGUUGAUAUUCCUGUACCACCUCUGUUCCGCUUGAGCAAUGGCGUGACGCAGGAGGAUAGGGUGAGCGGCCUAUUGGAUGGCCGUCCAAGCAGUAAGUGUGGUGUGUAGGCAAAUCCGCACACCGUGAAGCAUGAGCUGUGAUGGCGAGGGAAAUGUAAGUACCGAAGUCCCUGAUUUCACACUGCCAAGAAAAGCGUCUAGCGAGGAACAAGGUGCCCGUACCGCAAACCGACACAGGUAGGCGAGGAGAGAAUCCUAAGGUGCGCGGGAUAACUCUUGCUAAGGAACUCGGCAAAAUGGCCCCGUAACUUCGGGAGAAGGGGCGCCUCGGUAGGGUUAAUAGCCCGAGGGGGCCGCAGUGAAAAGGCCCAAGCGACUGUUUAGCAAAAACACAGGUCUCUGCGAAGCCGCAAGGCGAAGUAUAGGGGCUGACGCCUGCCCGGUGCUGGAAGGUUAAGGGGAUGAGUUAGCGCAAGCGAAGCUUUGAACC